RNAcentral lists this ribosomal RNA (1317 nucleotides) under Enterobacter hormaechei. RNAcentral's name for it is "partial 23S ribosomal RNA". It matches the Rfam family "Bacterial large subunit ribosomal RNA", at positions 169 to 1531 of the family's 2925-position model. The record is from RNAcentral. Lineage: Bacteria; Pseudomonadati; Pseudomonadota; Gammaproteobacteria; Enterobacterales; Enterobacteriaceae.
GGUUAACGAGGCGAACCGGGGGAACUGAAACAUCUAAGUACCCCGAGGAAAAGAAAUCAACCGAGAUUCCCCCAGUAGCGGCGAGCGAACGGGGAGCAGCCCGGAGUCUGAAUCAGCUUGUGUGUUAGUGGAACGGUCUGGAAAGUCCGACGGUACAGGGUGAUAGUCCCGUACACGAAAGCACACUUGCUGUGAACUCGAAGAGUAGGGCGGGACACGUGGUAUCCUGUCUGAAUAUGGGGGGACCAUCCUCCAAGGCUAAAUACUCCUGACUGACCGAUAGUGAACCAGUACCGUGAGGGAAAGGCGAAAAGAACCCCGGCGAGGGGAGUGAAAAAGAACCUGAAACCGUGUACGUACAAGCAGUGGGAGCCUCUUUAUGGGGUGACUGCGUACCUUUUGUAUAAUGGGUCAGCGACUUAUAUUCUGUAGCAAGGUUAACCGUAUAGGGGAGCCGAAGGGAAACCGAGUCUUAACUGGGCGUUAAGUUGCAGGGUAUAGACCCGAAACCCGGUGAUCUAGCCAUGGGCAGGUUGAAGGUUGGGUAACACUAACUGGAGGACCGAACCGACUAAUGUUGAAAAAUUAGCGGAUGACCUGUGGCUGGGGGUGAAAGGCCAAUCAAACCGGGAGAUAGCUGGUUCUCCCCGAAAGCUAUUUAGGUAGCGCCUCGUGAACUCAUCUUCGGGGGUAGAGCACUGUUUCGGCUAGGGGGCCAUCCCGGCUUACCAACCCGAUGCAAACUACGAAUACCGAAGAAUGUUAUCACGGGAGACACACGGCGGGUGCUAACGUCCGUCGUGAAGAGGGAAACAACCCAGACCGCCAGCUAAGGUCCCAAAGUCAUGGUUAAGUGGGAAACGAUGUGGGAAGGCACAGACAGCCAGGAUGUUGGCUUAGAAGCAGCCAUCAUUUAAAGAAAGCGUAAUAGCUCACUGGUCGAGUCGGCCUGCGCGGAAGAUGUAACGGGGCUAAACCAUGCACCGAAGCUGCGGCAGCGACACUAUGUGUUGUUGGGUAGGGGAGCGUUCUGUAAGCCGUUGAAGGUGUGCUGUGAGGCAUGCUGGAGGUAUCAGAAGUGCGAAUGCUGACAUAAGUAACGAUAAAGCGGGUGAAAAGCCCGCUCGCCGGAAGACCAAGGGUUCCUGUCCAACGUUAAUCGGGGCAGGGUGAGUCGACCCCUAAGGCGAGGCCGAAAGGCGUAGUCGAUGGGAAACAGGUUAAUAUUCCUGUACUUGGUGUUACUGCGAAGGGGGGACGGAGAAGGCUAUGUCAGCCGGGCGACGGUUGUCCCGGUUUAAGCAUGUAGGCGGAGGU